UCUCCGUAGGUGAACCUGCGGAGGGAUCAUUACCGAGCGAGGGCCCCCGGCCCGACCUCCAACCCUUUGUGAUUACCCCUCUGUUGCCUCGGGGGCGACCCGGCCUUCGGGCGUCGGGGCCCCCGGUGGACCACCCAACCCUGCAUCGUUGCGUCUGAGUCGAAAUAUAAAUCAAUCAAAACUUUCAACAACGGAUCUCUUGGUUCUGGCAUCGAUGAAGAACGCAGC
This 228-nucleotide unclassified non-coding RNA is filed under the name uncultured fungus. RNAcentral describes it as "sequence contains ITS1, 5.8S rRNA gene". The stretch from base 180 to 228 matches the Rfam family "5.8S ribosomal RNA", at positions 1 to 49 of the family's 154-position model. Lineage: Eukaryota; Fungi. The record is from RNAcentral.